CAUGGUCAGCUGAUCCUCCAGUGAACUGAGAAGGUUUAUAGUCCUGUGAGUUCAACAUUGCAGGACUCAGAUCUGUCAGUCAACACAGCAGAAACCACAAGCAGCAUGACUCUCAUCACCAUCCUCAUCUGGACGCUGGCCUGCUGCUGUUUUACAGGAUGCAGCGCUCAGGUGACUGUGACUCAGCCUCCAGUAGUCACAUCUACUCCAGGAUCCACUGUCACUCUGACCUGUAAGACUAACCCGGCUGUUAAAACAUGGUCAGAUGGAACCAGUAGAAGACACUGGUAUCAGCAGAAAUCUGGACAAGCUCCCAAAUUGGUCAUGAAAGUGGGUAAAAAUCCUACAGAUGAGUUUGCCUCUCGAUUCUCUGGCAGAGGAGAUGGAGUAAAUGCUGCUCUGACCAUCAGUGGAGUUCAGACUGAAGAUGCAGCAGUUUAUUAUUGUCAGCGUUAUGAUGAAAUAAACAGUGCUUGGGUAGCUACACAGUGA
Non-coding RNA from Scomber scombrus (Atlantic mackerel), 492 nucleotides. The record is from the annotation of a RefSeq genome assembly. NCBI's taxonomy places the organism in Eukaryota, Metazoa, Chordata, Actinopteri, Scombriformes, Scombridae.